CAGUGGGGGAUAUUGCACAAUGGGCGAAAAGCCUGAUGCAGCGACGCCGCGUGAGGGAAGACGGUCUUCGGAUUGUAAACCUCUGUCUUUGGGGGACGAUAAUGACGGUACCCAAGGAGGAAGCCACGGCUAACUACGUGCCAGCAGCCGCGGUAAUACGUAGGUGGCGAGCGUUGUCCGGAAUUACUGGGUGUAAAGGGAGCGUAGGCGGGAAUGCAAGUUGAAUGUCAAAUCUAUCGGCUCAACCGAUAGCCGCGUUCAAAACUGCAUUUCUUGAGUGAAGUAGAGGUUGGCGGAAUUCCUAGUGUAGCGGUGAAAUGCGUAGAUAUUAGGAGGAACACCAGUGGCGAAGGCGGCCAACUGGGCUUUAACUGACGCUGAGGCUCGAAAGCGUGGGGAGCAAACAGGAUUAGAUACCCUGGUAGUCCACGCUGUAAACGAUGAUCAAUAGGUGUGGGGGGUCUGACCCCUUCCGUGCCGCAGUUAACGCAAUAAGGUGAUCCACCUGGGGAGUACGGCCGCAAGGCUGAAAUUCAAAGGAAUUGACGGGGGCCCGCACAAGCAGUGGAUUAUGUGGUUUAAUUCGAAGCAACGCGAAGAACCUUACCAGGUCUUGACAUCUCCUGAAUAGCCUAGAGAUAGGUGAAGCCCUUCGGGGCAGGAAGACAGGUGGUGCAUGGUUGUCGUCAGCUCGUGUCGUGAGAUGUUGGGUUAAGUCCCGCAACGAGCGCAACCCUUACUAUUAGUUGCUGCGCAAGAGCACUCUAAUGGGACUGCCGUUGACAAAACGGAGGAAGGUGGGGAUGACGUCAAAUCAUCAUGCCCCUUAUGACCUGGGCUACACACGUAAUACAAUGGCGUCCAACAACGGGAAGCGAAGCCGCGAGGUGGAGCAAAUCCCCAAAAGACGUCCCAGUUCGGAUUGUAGGCUGCAACUCGCCUACAUGAAGUUGGAAUUGCUAGUAAUCGCAGAUCAGCAUGCUGCGGUGAAUACGUUCCCGGGCCUUGUACACACCGCCCGUCACACCAUGGGAGUCGGUAACACCCGAAGCCAGUACUCUAACCGCAAGGAGAGGGCUGUCGAAGGUGGGAUUGAUGACUGGGGUGAAG
Molecule: ribosomal RNA, 1110 nt
Filed under: uncultured bacterium
Lineage: Bacteria
Description: bacterial SSU rRNA
Rfam family: Bacterial small subunit ribosomal RNA
Source: RNAcentral